GACGAACGCUGGCGGCGUGCCUAAUACAUGCAAGUCGAACGGAAAGGCCCUGCUCUUGUGGCGUGCUCGAGAGGCGCACGGGUGAGAAUCACGCGUGUAACCUGUCCCUGUCAUUGGGAUAAAACCUGGAAAAUCGGGCGCUAAUAGCAUAGGAGCUCUUGAAGCACAGUGGGGGAUGGAAAGAUACGGCGGUGCGGGAUGGACUCGAGGCUUAUCAGCUUGUUGGUGAGGUAGUGGCUUACCAAGGCUUCGACGGGUAGCCGGCCUGAGAGGGUGACCGGGCACAAUGGGACUGAGGUAGGGCCCAGACUCCAACGUGAGGCAGCAGUGGGAAAUAUUGCACAAUGGGCGGACGCCUGAUGCAGCGACGUCGCGUGCGGAAUGACGGCCUUCGGGUUGUAAACCGCUUUCGCCUGUAACGAGGCGUGAGUGACGGUAAUGGGUAAAGAAGCACCGGCUAACUACGUG
RNAcentral lists this ribosomal RNA (468 nucleotides) under uncultured bacterium. Its description in RNAcentral is "partial 16S ribosomal RNA". It matches the Rfam family "Bacterial small subunit ribosomal RNA", at positions 28 to 507 of the family's 1533-position model. The record is from RNAcentral.